RNAcentral lists this long non-coding RNA (1028 nucleotides) under Oreochromis niloticus (Nile tilapia). Its description in RNAcentral is "lncRNA (ENSONIG00000035929.1)". Lineage: Eukaryota; Metazoa; Chordata; Actinopteri; Cichliformes; Cichlidae. The record is from RNAcentral.
CCCUCUGGGGCCCUUGUUGCACGAAGCGAUCACCGCAAUAUUCCUGAAAUACGACAAUCUUUUGAUGGAGGAAAUGGCAACUUCAAUACAUUCGUCAGUGAAAGAGGACGAGUCAAUGUCAGUUCAGAAUCAAGACUCAGUUAAUGCACAUGAGGAUGAUUUUGAUGAUGAUGAUUUUGAUGAUGAUGAUGAUAUGUGUUCUGCUGAGUCCUACGCUGGGUCACCGAAACCAGCCAGGGGUAAAUGUGUAAAUCUGGAUGAUAGCGACAGCGGCGAAACCAUGUCAAUAACACAAUCAGAACACCAUUACACCCAAGACCAUGAGCUAGCAGACAAAGCAUUUUGGGAACCCAUCAAGUGGUCAGCCGAGAGAGGGGAAGAUGGUGAUCAGAGCUAUGGAACUCUCAAAUCCAAAUCACACGAAGUAUGUCAGCGAUGUCGAGCCUACGACACUCACUGUAGGUCAGCAGCCGAAAACUACAGGAGAACCUUGAACAAUUACACGAAGGCCAUGUCGGAACUCAUGGUGGGGUUCAAGAAGGUACUGGAACGAUACCCAGAGCUCAAGGCCGACUGUAGUGACGAGCGUGUGUACUACAUGGUACAAGCGGCUCUAGGUCGCAACAACCUAGUUCGGGAAAUGGUACGCUUAUCUGCGGCUGGCGUAGCCCGUGGGUUCAAAGUGAGAGAUUCGUGUGAUGCAUCGGUGACCGGUCAAAUCGCCGCAGUUCACGAAGCGCUCAACACGUGCUACGACGAUGGGGACGCGGUCAGGUUGAGCCUGGACCGGUACGCUGAUCUGUAUGUGCAAUACGUACAGGUCUGGCGGGAGAUGUGCACAAAGGUGUCUAAAGAUAUCACGGUGAUGGAAUUAGUGAGCUACACGGAGGGAAGGCCGGGUGUUACUCACGGCGAACCAUGGUGCGAAGCCAGAGCCUACAUACACCGCAUGGUUAGCCGCUCGAGGCGACUGACGCCUCGCUUGGUAGCAGACUAUUGCUCCGACAAGCUGAAGGACCUGGAAUGCA